GACGAACGCUGGCGGCGUGCUUAAUACAUGCAAGUCGAACGGAAAGGCCCUGCUCUUGUUGCGUGCUCGUUUGGCGAACGGGGGUGUAUCACGCGUGUAACAUGUCCUUGUAUUUCGGGUAUCUUCACGAAACUGCGGAUAAUAUAGCAUAGAAUCUCCUGCUGCACGUUGGGGGUUGGUAAGUUUCGGCUGUUGUGGAUGGAAUCGCGGCUUAUCCGCUGGUUGGGGAGGUAGUGGCUGUCCAAGGCUUUGACGGGUAGCCUGCCUGGGAGGGUGAACGGGGACAUUGGGACUGCGAGACGGACCAGACUGCUACGGGAGGCAGCAGUGGGGAGUAUGACACAGUGGGCGGAAGCCUGAGGCAGCAGCGUCGCGUGCGUAAUAACGUCCUUCGAGUGAUAAACCGCUUUCGCCUGUGACGAACCGUGAGUGACGGUAAUGAGUAAGGAAGCAACGGCUAACUACGUG
RNAcentral lists this ribosomal RNA (468 nucleotides) under uncultured bacterium. Its description in RNAcentral is "partial 16S ribosomal RNA". It matches the Rfam family "Bacterial small subunit ribosomal RNA", at positions 28 to 507 of the family's 1533-position model. The record is from RNAcentral.